GAUGAACGCUGGCUACAGGCUUAACACAUGCAAGUCGAGGGGAAACGACGGGGAAGCUUGCUUCCCCGGGCGUCGACCGGCGCACGGGUGAGUAACGCGUAUCCAACCUGCCUCUGACUGAGGGAUAACCCGUCGAAAGUCGGCCUAAUACCUCAUGGCAUCGUCUGCGGGCAUCCAACGACGAUUAAAGAUUUCAUCGGUCAGGGAUGGGUAUGCGUCUGAUUAGCUUGUUGGCGGGGUAACGGCCCACCAAGGCUACGAUCAGUAGGGGUUCUGAGAGGAAGGCCCCCCAAAUUGGAACUGGGACCAGGUCCAAACCCCUGGGGGGGGCAGCAGUGGGGAAUAUUGGCCAAUGGGCGGGAGCCUGACCCAGCCAGGUAGGGUGCAGGAUGCCGGCCCUUUGGGUUUUAAACUGCUUUUAUGGGGGGAUAAAGUGGGGGACGUGUCCUUCAUUGCAGGUCCCGCAUAAAAAAGGACCGGCUAAUUCCGU
RNAcentral lists this ribosomal RNA (490 nucleotides) under uncultured bacterium. RNAcentral's name for it is "partial 16S ribosomal RNA". It matches the Rfam family "Bacterial small subunit ribosomal RNA", at positions 28 to 506 of the family's 1533-position model. The record is from RNAcentral.